UUUUAGCGGCGGACGGGUGAGUAACACGUGAGGAACCUGCCUUUCAGAGUGGGAUAACGUUUGGAAACGAACGCUAAUACCGCAUAAUGUAUUAGAAUGGCAUCAUUUUAAUACCAAAGGAGUAAUCCGCUGAAAGAUGGCCUCGCGUCUGAUUAGCUAGUUGGUGAGGUAAUGGCUCACCAAGGCAACGAUCAGUAGCCGGACUGAGAGGUUGAACGGCCACAUUGGGACUGAGACACGGCCCAGACUCC
RNAcentral lists this ribosomal RNA (251 nucleotides) under uncultured bacterium. RNAcentral's name for it is "partial 16S ribosomal RNA". It matches the Rfam family "Bacterial small subunit ribosomal RNA", at positions 90 to 339 of the family's 1533-position model. The record is from RNAcentral.